This 826-nucleotide ribosomal RNA is filed under the name uncultured organism. Its description in RNAcentral is "bacterial SSU rRNA". It matches the Rfam family "Bacterial small subunit ribosomal RNA", at positions 33 to 902 of the family's 1533-position model. The record is from RNAcentral.
ACGCUGGCGGCGUGCUUAACACAUGCAAGUCGAACGAAGCCCUCGUGGCUUAGUGGCGGACGGGUGAGUAACGCGUGAGAAUCUACCUUCGAGAUGGGGACACCGUUGGAAACGACGGCUAAUCCCCAAUAAGCCGAAAGGUGAAAGGGUUUCCGCUCGCAGAGGAGCUCGCGUCCGAUUAGUUAGUUGGUGGGGUAAGAGCCUACCAAGGCAGCGAUCGGUAGCUGGUCUGAGAGGAUGAGCAGCCACACUGGGACUGAGACACGGCCCAGACUCCUACGGGAGGCAGCAGUGGGGAAUUUUCCGCAAUGGGCGCAAGCCUGACGGAGCAACGCCGCGUGUGGGAAGAAGGCUCUUGGGCUGUCAACCACUUUUCUCAGGGAAGAAGUCCUGACGGUACCUGAGGAAUCAGCCUCGGCUAACUCCGUGCCAGCAGCCGCGGUAAUACGGAGGAGGCAAGCGUUAUCCGGAAUUAUUGGGCGUAAAGCGUCCGCAGGGGGCACUUCAAGUCUGCUGUCAAAGGUCGGAGCUUAACUCCGGUUCGGCAGUGGAAACUGGAGUGCUAGAGGGCGACAGGGGUAGAGGGAAUUCCCAGUGUACCGGUGAAAUGCGUAGAGAUUGGGAAGAACACCGGUGGCGAAAGCGCUCUACUGGGUCGCACCUGACCCUCAGGGACGAAAGCUAAGGUAGCGAAAGGGAUUAGAUACCCCUGUAGUCUUAGCCGUAAACGAUGGAUACUAGGCGUGGUUUGUAUCGACCCAAGCCGUGCCGAAGCUAACGCGUUACGUAUCCCGNCUGGGGAGUACGCACACUAGGUGUGAAACUC